Molecule: ribosomal RNA, 253 nt
Filed under: uncultured bacterium
Lineage: Bacteria
Description: partial 16S ribosomal RNA
Rfam family: Bacterial small subunit ribosomal RNA
Source: RNAcentral
UACGUAGGGAGCAAGCGUUGUCCGGAAUCAUUGGGCGUAAAGCGCGUGUAGGCGGCCCGAAAAGUCUGGUGUGAAAUCUUAAGGCUCAACCUUAAGCUGUCACUGGAUACUGUCGGGCUUGAGUCCGGAAGAGGAGAGUGGAAUUCCUGGUGUAGCGGUGGAAUGCGCAGAUAUCAGGAGGAACACCUAUGGCGAAGGCAGCUCCCUGGUACGUGACUGACGCUGAGACGCGAAAGCGUGGGGAGCGAACAGG